CGCGACCCCCGGCGCAGGCCGGGCGGCCGUGCGCACCUUCGUGUCGCACUUCGGGGGCCGCGCGGUGGCGGGCCACUUGACGCGCGUCGCCGAUCCCUUGCGCACGUUCUCGGUGCUGGAGCCGGGCGGGCCCGGAGGCUGCGCGCAGAGGCGCCGCGCCACCGUAGAGAACACGGCGCGGGCUGCCGGCUGCCUCGUCGCCCAGAACGGCGGCUUCUUCCGCAUGAGCACCGGCGACUGCCUGGGAAACGUGGUGAGCGACGCGCGGCGGGUGAGCGACGCCGGGGGGCUGCAGAACGCGCAGUUCGGGAUCCGCCGCGACGGGACCCUGGUCACCGGGUACCUGUCUGAGGAGGAGGUGCUGGACUCGGAGAAUCCAUUUGUGCAGCUGCUGAGCGGGGUGGUGUGGCUGAUUCGAAAUGGAAGCGUAUACAUCAACGAGAGCCAGGCCACCGAGUGUGAUGAGACACAGGAGACAGGUUCCUUUAGCAAAUUUGUGAACGUGAUGUCGGCCAGGACAGCCGUGGGCCACGACCGGAAAGGACAGCUGGUGCUCUUUCAUGCAGAUGGACAGACAGAGCAGCGAGGCAUUAACCUGUGGGAGAUGGCGGAGUUCCUCCUGCAGCAGGACGUGGUCAACGCCAUCAACCUGGAUGGGGGUGGUUCGGCCACCUUCGUGCUCAACGGGACCUUGGCCAGUUACCCGUCGGAUCACUGCCAGGACAGCAUGUGGCGCUGUCCCCGCCAUGUGUCCACUGUGGUGUGUGUGCACGAGCCCCGCUGCCAGCCGCCUGACUGCAGUGGCCACGGCACUUGUGUGGAGGGCCGCUGUGAGUGCUCAGGGAGCUUCUGGCGGGGUGCGGCCUGCAACGAGCUGGACUGCGGCUCCUCCAACUGCAGCAGGCACGGGCUGUGCACAGAGACUGGCUGCCGCUGUGACUCGGGGUGGACAGGGUCCAACUGCAGUGAAGAGUGUCCCCUGGGCUGGUAUGGGCCAGGAUGCCAGAGGCCUUGCCGGUGUGAGCACCAGUGUCCCUGUGACCCCCAGACUGGUGAUUGCAUCAGCUCCCAAGUGAAACAGUGUCUCUGGGCUCCAGAGGUGACCCCAAGGGCAGCAGAGCUCUCCUUUUUCACCAGGACCACCUGGCUGGCCCUCACCCUGGCCCUGGUUUUCUUGCUGCUGAUCAGCAUCUCAGCGAACGUGUCCUUGCUCCUGGGCUCCAGAGGCGAGAGGAACCGGCACCUGGAUGGGGACUAUGUGUACCACCCCCUGCAGGAGAUGAACGGGGAUCUCCUGGCCAUCGAGAAGGAGCAACCCGGGGACGUCCGUGAGCCCUUCAAGGACUGACAGCCCGAGCGGCUAGGACGGCCCAUUGUGGAGGCUUGUGUUCACGUUGGCCUCUGCCAUGAGGCACUGUGGCCACUGACAUAGACACCUGGGUGGCCUCAGCCAGGCCCCGCUGCCUCCAUCCCCCUCCCAGCCAUGGCCCCACCUGGCUAUCUGCAUGGUACAUGCGACCCCAGCAAUACAGGGCUGCUAGAGAGACUGCCUGCCUCACACCUGCCUGGCUCUGCCACCUAGAGGCCAUCCCCCGGAAGGCCUGUGCCACUGGCAGAGAGUCCCAGGAGGUCCACUAGCAAACCAGCCAGUGACUGCAUUGUGACAUGCAGAUCCCAGCCUGCCUCCUGGACAGGUGGAGGAAAGACAAGAAUCUGCCCUGACCACAUCACAGAACCCUUUUCUACACAGCACAUCACCGACUUGCCAGCCAGAGUCAGGAUCCUUCUUGGAAGGACAGGGAAGGCAAAGCCACCUUGCUCACUGACCUGUGUGGUUUCCCACUGCCUGCCGGUUUUCUGUCACCUGAAUAAAUUGACGUCCUGCAGGGAGCCACUAGGUGGCGUCUGCACUCCAGUCCUGGUCUUGAGGACUCUCCAGGCUCCUAACCCCAGGGGAACCGAGGCACUGGGGCCUCCCUUGUGAUCCAGUGCUUCCGAAGCCUUGCUGUGCACAGCAUCGUUGGAGGAUCAUGGUCACCCAGGGACUCUGCCAACCUGGACUAGGAUCAGCGACUUAGCUGGGCCCAGCUCCUGUCUGCAGUCAGCUAUCGUCCAGGGGCUGCCUGGUGUGGGGUGGUGAAUGCUGAGGACAAGGGGCUUACUCAGGCAUGGGUCCCUGUGGAGACGGGUGCAAGAGAGGGAGGAAGGGACAGAGGUGUGCGGGACUGCAGUUGAAGGUAGUGUGACCUCCCUUCUCCACAUUCUGUCAGAUAAACCAAGUUGCCAAUCUAGCCCUGGUUCAAGGCCAGACAGGUGGGGGAGGGUCCUGAAUCCACAGGAAGCGCCCCCAGGGGGUCUGAGGCAGCAGUUCUAUGAGCCUUUCCUGAGCUUCUUUGUGCUGACAGCUAAGCUGAGCAAGUGACUACUGUGCAUCCACUUAGCAGGAUCUAGACCCAGCCAGAGCAAGCGGACCUGGAGUGGGUCUGCCAUGGCAUGCUGCGGGGGUCCCUACAAGGUGAUGACAGCCAUGUGAACCUCCCUGGGGCCUUGCAGAACUGAUUUUGUCACACAGUUGUCUGUUAUCUUUGCCUACCCAACAUCCAGUUCCUCUUUUAUUAUUUUGUUUUGUUGGUUUUUGAGGCCAGCCGACCUUGAACUUGAGAUCCUCCUGCCUCAGCCUCUGGGAUGCUGAGAUUACAGUUGUGCACAACCAUUCUCACCUCAGGCCCUCUUUUAGUAACACCUCUGCCUGUAGCUGAGCUGACCCUGAGCAAGUGGUUUCAGAGGUGACUCCAGGAAGUGCCAGUAGGGUGAAGGAAGGGAAGGGAAGGCAGCCAGGUGAACAGUGAGCAGGGGCUUGGUCCUGCUGGGGACCUCUGGGGCUGUAAGACAUGCUUUGGGCUGUAGACUACUGGAGGCCAAAGAAGCUGGGCGUGUGUUUAUCAGCACCCAUUAUUGCUGGUGUGGCUGCUCCUGGGGUCACUUCUCCAAUGCCCUCCAGAGGGACAGAGUGCUCAGAUGGCCAACAGACAGAAAGGUGUGGCUUCUUGUAUCAAGACACCCUCUGGGGGCCUGGAGUGGUGAUGCAUAGCUAUAAUCCCAGCACUCAGGAGGUUGAGCCCUCUGUGGUAUGUGGGUGUCCAGGAAACUGGGCAGGUGCCAAGAGCCUUGGCUGAGGGUCUCUUACCAUGACCUUUAGGGCACUAACUGUCCAUCCAGGUGCUGUGGCUGCCAUUGUCCCUUCCCUCUCCCACCAAGUUUGAGAUGGGCUUCAGGGAUUGGUCCAGACAUGGGCAUUUGUGACAGGUCAGUCAGUCAGUACCCAGCUCACACCUGGUGCUGAAAUGGUCCAAUUCCCAGGGUGAGAACCACUCAGAGGAGUGUGGGCAGUACCUGACCUGAACCGAGGCAGAGGGAGCAGCCAAUGGGCGUAAGAACCAAAGAGUGGGGAGAGACAGGAUAGGGUUUGAGCACAUGGAUCUGGCUAUAUCUGAUGUCAGUCAUCUUGGACUUGGCAGGAACGUGGACCAAUAAAUCCUUGUUCUUGUUUGAGAUAGUUUGUGUUUGAUCUUGGGGCAACCGAAAGAGUGUGACACCCAUCAUGUACCAUCCAGGACAGGCACUGUUUUGGGUUGCUUUGAUUUGUGUGGUGCUGGGGAUGGAACCCAGGGCCUCAUGCAUGCUAGGCAAAUGCUUCGCCACUAGGCUGCACCCCAGCCUUGCACUUAGAUGGGAAGUGGGGUUCCAAUACCUACUGGGGGGCACAUGUGACAAAUACAC
Molecule: non-coding RNA, 3780 nt
Organism: Castor canadensis (American beaver)
Lineage: Eukaryota; Metazoa; Chordata; Mammalia; Rodentia; Castoridae
Source: RefSeq, a predicted model, not a curated record